RNAcentral lists this ribosomal RNA (230 nucleotides) under uncultured soil bacterium. Its description in RNAcentral is "partial 16S ribosomal RNA". The stretch from base 1 to 199 matches the Rfam family "Bacterial small subunit ribosomal RNA", at positions 342 to 540 of the family's 1533-position model. The record is from RNAcentral.
CGGGAGGCAGCAGUGAGGAAUAUUGGUCAAUGGGCGAGAGCCUGAACCAGCCAAGUAGCGUGCAGGAAGACGGCCCUAUGGGUUGUAAACUGCUUUUAUAUGGGGAUAAAGUGCGGGACGUGUCCCGUUUUGUAGGUACCAUAUGAAUAAGGACCGGCUAAUUCCGUGCCAGCAGCCGCGGUAAUACUGCCAGCAGCCGCGGUAAUACUGCCAGCAGCCACGGUAAUAAU